RNAcentral lists this non-coding RNA (28 nucleotides) under Homo sapiens (human). Lineage: Eukaryota; Metazoa; Chordata; Mammalia; Primates; Hominidae. The record is from RNAcentral.
AGAGUUCCUGUGAUUGCACGAGGUCAGC